GGCUCUCGGGCCCGAGUUGUAAUUUGUAGAGGAUGCUUUUGGUGAGGUGCCUUCCGAGUUCCCUGGAACGGGACGCCAUAGAGGGUGAGAGCCCCGUCUGGUUGGACACCGAGCCUCUGUAAAGCUCCUUCGACGAGUCGAGUAGUUUGGGAAUGCUGCUCUAAAUGGGAGGUAUAUGUCUUCUAAAGCUAAAUACUGGCCAGAGACCGAUAGCGCACAAGUAGAGUGAUCGAAAGAUGAAAAGCACUUUGAAAAGAGAGUUAAAAAGCACGUGAAAUUGUUGAAAGGGAAGCGCUUGUGACCAGACUUGGGCUUGGUUGAUCAUCCGGCGUUCUCGCCGGUGCACUCUUCCAGUUCAGGCCAGCAUCAGUUUGCUUCGGGGGAUAAAAGUUUCGGGAAUGUGGCUCCUCCGGGAGUGUUAUAGCCCGUUGCAUAAUACCCUGGGGCGGACUGAGGUUCGCGCAUUUAUGCAAGGAUGCUGGCGUAAUGGUCAUCAGCGACCCGUCUUGAAACACGGACCAAGGAGUCGUCUUCGUAUGCGAGUGUUCGGGUGUCAAACCCCUACGCGUAAUGAAAGUGAACGCAGGUGAGAGCUUCGGCGCAUCAUCGACCGAUCCUGAUGUUCUCGGAUGGAUUUGAGUAAGAGCAUACGGGGCCGGACCCGAAAGAAGGUGAACUAUGCCUGUAUAGGGUGAAGCCAGAGGAAACUCUGGUGGAGGCUCGCAGCGGUUCUGACGUGCAAAUCGAUCGUCAAAUAUGGGCAUGGGGGCGAAAGACUAAUCGAACCUUCUAGUAGCUGGUUUCCGCCGAAGUUUCCCUCAGGAUAGCAGUGUUGAACUCAGUUUUAUGAGGUAAAGCGAAUGAUUAGGGACUCGGGGGCGCUAUAUUGCCUUCAUCCAUUCUCAAACUUUAAAUAUGUAAGAAGCCCUUGUUGCUUAAUUGAACGUGGGCAUUCGAAUGUAUCAACACUAGUGGGCCAUUUUUGGUAAGCAGAACUGGCGAUGCGGGAUGAACCGAACGCGAGGUUAAGGUGCCAGAGUAGACGCUCAUCAGACACCACAAAAGGUGUUAGUACAUCUUGACAGCAGGACGGUGGCCAUGGAAGUCGGAAUCCGCUAAGGACUGUGUAACAACUCACCUGCCGAAUGUACUAGCCCUGAAAAUGGAUGGCGCUCAAGCGUCUCACCCAUACCUCGCCCUCAGGGUAGGAUCUAUGCCCUGAGGAGUAGGCGGACGUGGAGGUC
Molecule: ribosomal RNA, 1244 nt
Filed under: Fusarium sp.
Lineage: Eukaryota; Fungi; Ascomycota; Sordariomycetes; Hypocreales; Nectriaceae
Description: partial large subunit ribosomal RNA
Rfam family: Eukaryotic large subunit ribosomal RNA
Source: RNAcentral